GUCCACGCCGUAAACGAUGGAUACUAGCUGUUGGGCGCAAGUUCAGUGGCUAAGCGAAAGUGAUAAGUAUCCCACCUGGGGAGUACGUUCGCAAGAAUGAAACUCAAAGGAAUUGACGGGGCCCGCACAAGCGGUGGAGCAUGUGGUUAAUUCGAUGAUACGCGAGGAACCUUACCAAGGCUUAAAUGUAGUCUGACCGAUUUGGAAACAGAUCUUUCGCAAGACAGAUUACAAGGUGCUGCAUGGUUGUCGU
This 253-nucleotide ribosomal RNA is filed under the name uncultured bacterium. RNAcentral's name for it is "partial 16S ribosomal RNA". It matches the Rfam family "Bacterial small subunit ribosomal RNA", at positions 793 to 1055 of the family's 1533-position model. The record is from RNAcentral.